GAGAAAGAGGCCGACCACUGACUGUCGUCGUACUGAAUCCAUUGUCAGCCACCAAAAAAGGUAAAAAUUCUCCCUACCUGCUUGGAAUUUAGUUUUGUGCAUCCCUGUGGCCAAAUCAGAGUAAGAGGAAUGACGGGUGAGCCAGAAACUAUGGGUCAAGUCCAGCAAAGUUGCCGCACCAAAAUCUAAAAAUUCAUCCGAUGAGCCCCUUCACGCUUCUCGUUUCACAAAAUUUUUCAGUUAUUAUAUUCAAUGUCCUUUUCUAUGCAGGUUAUAUGAAGAAAGAAUCUCAUCCGCAAAGGAUGACCGGAGCAACCGCACCCGGAAGUCCUCCCGCUAGUAGGUUCGAUUUUUAUGAUUUUUCAACCAACC
Molecule: long non-coding RNA, 372 nt
Filed under: Carica papaya (papaya)
Lineage: Eukaryota; Viridiplantae; Streptophyta; Magnoliopsida; Brassicales; Caricaceae
Description: long non-coding RNA (CPAP_LNC015588)
Source: RNAcentral